UUUGCUGGACAGAAUCCCUUGGUGGGAACUUAGCUGUUGACUUCUUUCUUUCAUGAGCAUUCUGGGUAUGUGCACUUUGAAGGUUUCGUGUUUUAUUUGCUGAGCUGCUCUUCUGAUUAAGAUGCUUAUAAACUGUCCUAACACGUAAAUUGUCAGGGGUCCUCAUGUAGGCGGGGUAAAUCAAUUUCGCCUGAAAUGACAGUCCCUGCCGAGCAGGUUGUGGGUCUGCCGUGAGCAGAGUCUGACGUCUACACAGCACACAGCCCAGAUUUGUGAGCCUCAGCUGUCAGAAAGAUUAUGGAACACGAAGAUAAUGCUGUCACUGAAUUGCAGUCUUUUAUUUUUGUACAGAAAUAAUUUACACAUAGGUAUUAAGGUUGAGAACCCUCGCAUUUUGGUGCCUGGCAGAAGAACCACAGGAUCCCUAUUCAUUUUAAGGAUAUUUAUUGAGAAGCUACCAUGCUGGGACCAGCGUAGGCUGAACACGGUAAUGCUAUGUACAAGUCUUUGUUCCAGGUGCCAGAUUUUUCCAGAAUGUGUAGAAUGAUACUAACUCUUAUCUCCCAAGCUUCCAGGGUCCGUGUGCUCACUGCGCAUACCUGCUAAUGAUGGGUGAUCCUCACAUCCAGUGCUCCGGGCACUUGGGCCUGACAAGUGAACAUGGGCCUGACAAGUGUGAGACCUGGAUGGGUGAUGCUACCAUUGUAAGAAGGAAGGGGCCCUGAGUUUCUUCUUUCAAAAGCAUAGAAUCUCUCCACCUUCUGACAAAUGAGGAAAUAGUUAGAAACAGAUUACUUGUCUGCAGAAACAGGAUGAAAGAAUAAGACUUGCUUUCAGAUUUUCAUCUCAUAUUUAUAAAAUGCCUGUUCAGUAACUUGCAACCAUCUGGCAGAGUACCUUGCUGUUUCCUUGCAGACAUGUGGCAGUUGUUGUAUUUGUGUGUGUGUGUGUUUAGGAUAAUGUCACUCUUAUUUUCCUACUGGAAGGGCAAGAGGAAGAAACCGAGAGUGGCCAUAUGGAAAGUUUUAAAAAUGGCAAGUUACCAAGAAGACCAGAAGCAAGGAUGAGCAGCUACAGCCCAGAGUGGAUCCCAUGCCUCUCUCUGCAGCCCCCUAGCUGGUAUGAAGGAAAAUCACCACCACAACCCAGGUCUUCUGCUGUGGACUGCUGGAUUUUCCCAGCAGUUAAACUGCAUUACCCCUUUGAGAAAAGAACCAAUGGCAUCAAUAUAAUUUGUUCUUAACAUUCUGGCUUCUCUAUCACUAGCCAAGCCUAGUGAUGUAUCUUCUGUAUCACCUAACCAAGCCGGGGAGCAUAGAAAGAAAAACAGAUCUUGCCCUUAAGAAGUUUAUUUUUAAAACAAUCUGAAAAGGGGGGGGGGGGGGACCCCA
Bubalus bubalis (water buffalo) is the source of this 1391-nucleotide long non-coding RNA. RefSeq lists it as uncharacterized. Lineage: Eukaryota; Metazoa; Chordata; Mammalia; Artiodactyla; Bovidae. The record is from RefSeq and is a predicted model, not a curated record. The transcript is spliced from 2 exons.